CUGCCCUGCACCUCCCUGUCCGCCUUUGUCUCCUUCCUGCCUCCCUUCCUGUCCUUUUCGCUCUCUUCUUUGGGCGCUUUGUGUAGCUGCCGUCUCUUUGUCUCCGCCUGUCUGCUCUCUGCUCCCUCUGCUCCUUCUCCUCCCUCUUCCAGCUCCGUGAAGCUGUCGACCUCAAGGGCAUCAAUAUUUCAGGGUAAUGAAGCUGGAAGCCAGGUGUGGUGCAGCCAGCUCAGAGGUCCCUAAGCCUGAAAAGGAGGCCGAGCCAGAUGCGGAACCACACUCCGACACCUGGCCACAGGAGGCUGCGGCCAAGUCCAGGUCCGGAUGGGGGCUUGAGGCUGAGACUGAGACCCUGGGGGUUGAAUCAGGGCCUGAGGCCAAGGCCAAGUCCUUGGGGGCCAACCCCAGGUCCGGAUCGGGGCCUGAGGCUAAGGCUGAGCCGUGGGACUUCGUGGUGGCCACAGAAGGAGAGUUUGAGGAGAUGCUGGCCAUCUCCUCGACUACCUUCUCAGCCGCUACCACAGCCGGCUCCGGGAUCCCGACCGCACCGUGGUGCCGGCCAAGCUAACGGAGGAGUGAUCGCUCUGGAGUCGGUGCACGUGAUCGACCCCAGGGAGGCCAAGCUGGUGGAGGGGCUGCGCGUGGCGCCCUGGGAGUGCGGCAAGGGCGUCGCGGGGCUUCUGCUGGCCAAGCGACAGCAUCCGGGGUUAAGGUGGCACAGCUCACCUGGGACGACCAGCUGGGCCCCCGGGAGCUGAAGAAAUACCGCCUAAUCACCAAGCAGGGCAUUCUUUUGGUCGGAUUCAACGCCUCAACGCUACUGGCUGGGCUGGGCGUGCGGCUGACGGCGCUGAGGGCCUCUGGCACCUUCUCGCGGCUGCCCACCGAGGCCGGGUGGUGACGACACGUGGCGCUACCUCAACAUCAACGCCUUCGGCAGCUUCGGCUUGCAGGUGCAGAGCCAGCCUUUGUGGCACCUGCAGCGCCAGGCCCUGCGCGUCGCCGGCCUCAUCGUCAUGUGCCAGCUUUUCCUAGAGCUCCAGUUAUGGUCACAGCUGGCUGACUUCUGCCAGGACGGCUUGGGGCUCGAGCCGGUCAAGGGUUAUACAGAGCAGUACCUGCUGGAGGCCGACAUCUAGGGCCUCUCCUAUAGCAGUGGAGAGAAGACACCCUUUAGAUCCGCGCUCCGGCGCUGAUCUCCAAGAAAGCCCUGCCCUCCACGUUUGCGAGUUCCGCCUCCUCCCCCUGCGCUCCGCGGUCGGCUCCGAAGCCUAACUUUACUGGGAGCGCCCUCCCUAAACUCUUACCCUUACUUCUUGCCUCUAGCGCCCCCAAAAGCUGCUGCCCACGCCUUGAUCCGAACUGCCGGGUUUGGGGGAGGCGCUUGCGCUGCUGUUGUUCACCCUUUCCCCCUUACCGGCCAAAGAAUGGGUUCCUUCCCCGGCUUCAGAGCCUUUCCUUGUCCGUCACCCUGGCCUGACUGAACUCUGCGCUUCCUGGCUUCUCCCUUCUGCCCCCUCGCGGGUGGAAGCCGGCAGAAGGAUGUGCUACCCUCAGCGGCCCAAGACCUAUUACUUUUCUUCUACCCUUUCCCAAGCUCUCAGAGCUUGCCCCGCACUCCCCUCCUUGCCUCGCUCUCAGCCUCCUGUGCGGGCUUCUUCCUCAGCGUCCUCUCCCUCCUUCUCUCUCUGCCCCAUCCUCCUCCUCCCUGGGCCUCCCAGACGCUUAGCUCCUCAUGCCCCAUUUACUCCUCCAUUCCUCUUCCCCCAUGACCUUUUCAUCACCCGCCCUGUGUGCAAUACGGAGAGAGAGAGCCUCUCCAUUCCUCUUCCCCCAUGACCUUUUCAUCACCCGCCCUUUGUGCAAUACGGAGAGAGAGAGAGCCUGUCAAUGAACUAGAAUUAUAAUGCCCUGUUGACCCUCUGGGGACGCAUCUUUCCAAGCCUGCUCCCUCUGACGGGUUUCCUCCAACUUUGCACCAUGUUGCUAUUUCAGACGCCCCCUUCCCAUGCCCCCAACCAGCGGCCUGAACCAGGCCAUGGACCAGCGUUGUUGAGCUGGAGAGUCUGGUGUGGGGAGGGCAGAUCCCUCAGCCCAGUAUGGGGCUGUCUUCUGGUUCUAACCAGGCUGCGUUCUAGCACCACUGGAACCCCCCCCCCUCCAGAUAUUUCUGGACAUCCCUCCCUUUCUUCUGAUUUCUUGAUGCUUUAUGGACUUUGGCAGUUUCCUAUUUGAAUGCAAGUAGUAACAGCUGCAAUUGCACAGCGCUGUCUUCCUGCACUGGAUCCUCACGUCUACCACAGAGGGAGGAAACAGAGGCUCUCAAAGAUCAAAGUGACUUCGAAGUCAUUCAGAGUAGCUGGGAGCCUGGCAGGGACUAGAACUCAGGCGUCCCAAGCCCUGAGCACGCCUCAGAACCGCACUCUGUGUGACCGUGAGUGCUUGAACUUCUUGUUGAACGAUGGACAGUUGGUGGGGAUCUGUUGACAGCAAGCACAGGGGGCGCUGGGGUUGGAAUCAAAGACGUGGGCAGAGGAGGGCGCCUGGACGUGGAAGAAGGUGGGCAAAGAGGACAGCUGCUGCCUCAUCACUCCCCCCAGUUCUGGUUCUGCUGCCUUGCUUGGCUGCCUUCUGCCAUGCUGCCACCCUCCCUGUCACUUCAACCGUGGCUGUAUUGCAAUAAAACGGACCCUUAGCCCA
Molecule: long non-coding RNA, 2700 nt
Organism: Ursus maritimus (polar bear)
Lineage: Eukaryota; Metazoa; Chordata; Mammalia; Carnivora; Ursidae
Source: Ensembl